UGCGAUGUUCGGGGCCGCACGCGCGCUACACUGAAGGAAUCAAMGUGUGCUUYCCAUGUCCGGCAGGACUUGGUAACCCGUUGAAUCUCCUUCGUGAUAGGGAUAGGGGCUUGUAAUUAUUCCCCUUGAACGAGGAAUUCCCAGUAAGCGCGAGUCAUCAGCUCGCGUUGAUUACGUCUCUGCGCUUUGUACACACCGCCCGUCGCUACUAGCGAUUGAACGACUCAGUGAGGUCAUCGGACUGGCGCUCGGAGCGGCCUUCCGGCCGUGCCGACGUGACGGAAAGAUGCCCRAACUUGGUCGCUUAGAGCAAGUAAAAGUCGUAACAAGGUUGCC
RNAcentral lists this ribosomal RNA (336 nucleotides) under Pholcinae gen. n. sp. Ind206. RNAcentral's name for it is "bacterial SSU rRNA". Lineage: Eukaryota; Metazoa; Arthropoda; Arachnida; Araneae; Pholcidae. The record is from RNAcentral.